RNAcentral lists this ribosomal RNA (784 nucleotides) under uncultured bacterium. RNAcentral describes it as "bacterial SSU rRNA". It matches the Rfam family "Bacterial small subunit ribosomal RNA", at positions 20 to 795 of the family's 1533-position model. The record is from RNAcentral.
UGGCUCAGGAUGAACGCUAGCGGCAGGCUUAAUACAUGCAAGUUGAACGGGAUUCAUCGAGUAGUAAUACUUGAUGAUGAGAGUAGCGCACGGGUGCGUAACACGUAUGCAACCUACCUUUAACCGGGACAUAACCUCUAGAAAUGGAAGCUAAUAUCCCAUGUGAUUAUUACGCGGCAUCGCGAGAUAAUUAAAAUUCAGAUGGUUAAAGAUGGGCAUGCGUCCCAUUAGCUAGUUGGAGAGGUAACGGCUCACCAAGGCGACGAUGGGUAGGGGUUCUGAGAGGAUGAUCCCCCACACUGGUACUGAGACACGGACCAGACUCCUACGGGAGGCAGCAGUAAGGAAUAUUGGUCAAUGGACGCAAGUCUGAACCAGCCAUGCCGCGUGCAGGAAGACGGCCUUAUGGGUUGUAAACUGCUUUUGUACGGGAAGAACAUUGUCUACGAGUAGAUAACUGACGGUACCGUAAGAAUAAGGAUCGGCUAACUCCGUGCCAGCAGCCGCGGUAAUACGGAGGAUCCGAGCGUUAUCCGGAUUUAUUGGGUUUAAAGGGUGCGUAGGCGGGUAUAUAAGUCAGAGGUGAAAUUCCAGGGCUCAGCCUUGGGACUGCCUUUGAUACUGUAUGUCUAGAGUAUAUUUGGAGUGGGCGGAAUGUAGCAUGUAGCGGUGAAAUGCUUAGAUAUGCUACAGAACACCGAUCGUGAAGACAGCUCACUAAACUAUAACUGACGCUCAGGCACGAAAGCAUGGGGAGCAAACAGGAUUAGAUACCCUGGUAGUC